Molecule: ribosomal RNA, 549 nt
Filed under: uncultured bacterium
Lineage: Bacteria
Description: bacterial SSU rRNA
Rfam family: Bacterial small subunit ribosomal RNA
Source: RNAcentral
AAUAGAUACCCGGGUAGUCCACGCCGUAAACGAUGAGUGCUAAGUGUUAGGGGGGUUUCCGCCCCGUUAGUGCUGCAGCUAACGCAUUAAGCACUCCGCCUGGGGAGUACGGUCGCAAGACUGAAACUCAAAGGAAUUGACGGGGGCCCGCACAAGCGGUGGAGCAUGUGGUUUAAUUCGAAGCAACGCGAAGAACCUUACCAGGUCUUGACAUCCCACUGACCGCUAUGGAGACAUAGUUUUCCCUUCGGGGACAGUGGUGACAGGUGGUGCAUGGUUGUCGUCAGCUCGUGUCGUGAGAUGUUGGGUUAAGUCCCGCAACGAGCGCAACCCUUGAUCUUAGUUGCCAUCAUUUAGUUGGGCACUCUAAGGUGACUGCCGGUGACAAACCGGAGGAAGGUGGGGAUGACGUCAAAUCAUCAUGCCCCUUAUGACCUGGGCUACACACGUGCUACAAUGGACGGUACAAACGGUUGCCAACCCGGCGAGGGGGUAACCUAAUCCGGAUAAAACUCGUUCUCAGUUCGGAUUGUAGGCUGCACUCGCUAC